UGAACGGGUAGACAUUCUAGAGCUUCAGGUCUUCAGCUGUGAAAUGGAAAAUGAAAUCUACCCCUCUUAGCCCUACGGUUGUGUUCUAGGGAUCAAACAAGAGCCCUUGCAUUAACAGUGGCCAUGUGACCCAAUUAUAGACUAUAAGACAAGGAGAAAUCUGCUGGGGAAAGUAGGUGUCUGGGAAAGUAGACAGCCGGCAUCACCCUGUCUCCUUCUUCCUGCCUUGGAAAAGGAUGUGAUGACUGGAAUUGCAGCAGCAACAUUGUGACCAUGAAGCAGAGGCCAAAAGAAUUGCAAAGGGGCCUGUCCUCACAACAUUAAGCCAGUACACUAAUGCCAACAGCUGUCUGCCUGUAUGCUUCUUGUGAUAGAAUAAAAACAAACACCUAUUUGUUGAA
Neofelis nebulosa (Clouded leopard) is the source of this 401-nucleotide long non-coding RNA. RefSeq lists it as uncharacterized. NCBI's taxonomy places the organism in Eukaryota, Metazoa, Chordata, Mammalia, Carnivora, Felidae. The record is from RefSeq and is a predicted model, not a curated record. The transcript has 2 exons.